GGAGCUGUGUGAGGGUGGUGAGCUAUUUGAUCGGAUCGUUGCAAGGGGGCAUUAUACCGAGAGGGCAGCAGCUGCGGUGACUCGCACAAUUGUUGAAGUGAUUCAGAUGUGCCAUAAGCAUGGAGUUAUGCAUCGGGACCUCAAGCCUGAAAAUUUCUUGUUUGAAAACAAGAAAGAGACAGCACCAUUGAAGGCAAUUGAUUUUGGUCUCUCAGUAUUCUUUAAGCCUGGUGAGAGAUUUAACGAAAUUGUGGGAAGUCCGUACUACAUGGCGCCCGAGGUGCUGAAGAGAGACUAUGGUCCAGAAGUAGAUAUCUGGAGUGCUGGAGUAAUUCUCUACAUCUUGCUAUGUGGUGUUCCACCAUUUUGGGCAGAAACUGAACAAGGAGUUGCACAAGCAAUCAUUCGUUCUGUUGUGAAUUUUAAAAGGGACCCUUGGCCUAAGGUAUCCGACAAUGCAAAAGACCUUGUGAAGAAGAUGCUUAACCCUGAUCCUAGCCAGAGGCUUACUGCUCAAGAAGUUCUAGAUCAUCCCUGGAUACAAAAUGCAAAGAAG
RNAcentral lists this unclassified non-coding RNA (556 nucleotides) under Hevea brasiliensis (rubber tree). Lineage: Eukaryota; Viridiplantae; Streptophyta; Magnoliopsida; Malpighiales; Euphorbiaceae. The record is from RNAcentral.